GAUGAACGCUGGCGGCGUGCCUAAUACAUGCAAGUCGAGCGAACAGACGAGGAGCUUGCUCCUCUGACGUUAGCGGCGGACGGGUGUGUAACACGUGGAUAACCUACCUAUAAGACUGGGAUAACUUCGGGAAACCGGAGCUAAUACCGGAUAACAUGUUGAACCGCAUGGUUCAACAGUGAAAGACGGUCUUGCUGUCACUUAUAGAUGGAUCCGCGCCGCAUUAGCUAGUUGGUAAGGUAACGGCUUACCAAGGCAACGAUGCGUAGCCGACCUGAGAGGGUGAUCGGCCACACUGGAACUGAGACACGGUCCAGACUCCUACGGGAGGCAGCAGUAGGGAAUCUUCCGCAAUGGGCGAAAGCCUGACGGAGCAACGCCGCGUGAGUGAAGAAGGUCUUCGGAUCGUAAAACUCUGUUAUUAGGGAAGAACAAAUGUGUAAGUAACUAUGCACGUCUUGACGGUACCUAAUCAGAAAGCCACGGCUAACUACGUG
RNAcentral lists this ribosomal RNA (497 nucleotides) under uncultured bacterium. RNAcentral's name for it is "partial 16S ribosomal RNA". It matches the Rfam family "Bacterial small subunit ribosomal RNA", at positions 28 to 507 of the family's 1533-position model. The record is from RNAcentral.